This 1126-nucleotide long non-coding RNA is filed under the name Chinchilla lanigera (long-tailed chinchilla). RNAcentral describes it as "lncRNA (ENSCLAG00000024913.1)". The record is from RNAcentral. Lineage: Eukaryota; Metazoa; Chordata; Mammalia; Rodentia; Chinchillidae.
CUACUGCAUAAUAUUAUGUUCCCUUCCUUUCAGUUGCUCCUCUUACCAAUUCCAAGAUAGAAACAAUAAAGUUUCUCACUCAUUUUAUCUCUUCAUCUGACAUUAAACUCCUAGCCCCCCUUCACUUCCUUUGUUUUCUUUUUUUAAACUAUAACUGACAAAGUUAAACAUUCGCUUCCUGUUUCCAUGUAGGACAGAGGUGUUAGGAACAUUUCUUGGUAAAACAAAUUUUCAACAGCAGCUUCAGCUUUUGUUAACUUUGUCACAAGCUAAAACAAACCAAACAUAAAAAAUAAAAUAAAACAACCACUUUAUUAAACUGAAUUGAAAAUUUCCAACGAAAACGCAAAAGCAGCGAGCAUGAUGCGUGUGUUGGCUUUUUCAUUGUCUCUUCUGAGGUCUAAACUCUCCCCUCUACACUACUCUAGAGCUCAGUAUCAGUGACUUACAAUAUUGUCUUUUGUAAAGGAAAGAUGUACGCUUUAGCUCUCACACCUUGCAUACACUGUUCUUUCUUUCCAUCACUUUUUACUGGUCUAUGACGUAAUAAUCCCGAGCCUUGACUAAAUUCUGAGAUGAUUGAAGCUCAAUCUCAUCCACUCUGUGCACAUUAGUUUAGGUUACUUUAUUUCCUGGAUUCCUAAAAAAUCUUUGGACAGGAGAAAGCAAGACCAAAACGGGCUACAAAUUCUGUAUUCUUUCAUCCUGAACCUCACAAAACCUGGCACACACAGCUUCUUACCACGGAUCUUUUCAACUCAGAUAGAGAAAGGUGCACAGAACCUGACAAGAACGUCUUGGAGGCAACGUUUGCAUCCACCAGAGAUGGCAAGGAAGCAGUAGGAAGAACUCAUGAACUGCGCUAAGUAUUUAUUUGGCGUAGGCUGAUCAUUAAAACUAUCAAGAGCCAGCUAAUAAAUUAUGAAGUCUUUUUUAGAAAUUUCUGCUCUUAGGAAGUCCCUGUUUUUUAGAUGACAAAAUAAUUGUGGGAAAAAUAUCUUACUUCCAGUAACAGGAAGGGUAUGAGGCUCUGCUUUUCCAGAUUGCUGCCUGUGUAAAGGUCCCCUGGACUGCAUGAGCAGAUGUCCCCGGCACUGGGCCUGCUUGCUCUGACAGAGUUGAAAGG